This is a long non-coding RNA of Mauremys mutica (yellowpond turtle), 1099 nucleotides long. RefSeq lists it as uncharacterized. NCBI's taxonomy places the organism in Eukaryota, Metazoa, Chordata, Testudines, Geoemydidae. The record is from RefSeq and is a predicted model, not a curated record. The transcript is spliced from 3 exons.
UCCCCAGCUGAGGCUGAGAACUAGUACAUACCUGACAGGCCCUUAUCCUGCCCAGCCACUCUGCUGCCAAAUUCAAAUGUCACUUUGUCCAGACUGCUGGUGGAAGGAACAGACUCCUCAUCCCAAACUACCAUGGUAGGGGAUUCAUCCAGAUCAGCUUCAUAAAGUUAGGACAGGAAAGGAGAAAGUAUCGUCUAGUGGUGAAAGCACAGAACUAGGGAAGAAGGAGACUGCACUUCAUUCCCAGUCUUGCUGUAGACACUGUCCUUGGGAUUUCGGCACUGAAAAGACAAACAAGAAGUGCAUUCAUAAUCACAAUCGUAUUCACCUCUGCAAAGCGCCGACCGCUGCUAAUUUCAGAUUGAUGUUGAGCUCGAAACUCCAGACACAUAAGCAAGCAACAUUUAAAAUGUGUUUCAUAAAUAAAUCUGCCCUACCACCCUGGGCCUGAUUCUCUUUUGCCACUUUAAGUUCGGUGCCUGUCAUGGUGGCAACCCUAGGACCCGCUGGUGGACACCAGUGGUGAGGGGAGCUGUCAAGGCGAAGGACUCCUGUUACAGCUGAGAGAUACCGGCUGGUGAAGAGGGCUGUGGCUGUGGCAGUCAUUGAAGCAAAAACCCGGGCUUGGGAUGAGUUUGGAAAGACCAUGGAGAAUGACUACCGGACGGCCUCAAAGGUGUUCUGGCAAAACGUUCGUCGCCUUAGGAGGGAUCGGUGGGACAUUGCCCAAGCUGUUCUCAGCAAGGGUGGUGAAACGCUGACCUCGACUGAGGAGGGAUACACCCUCCCUUCAGGAGGCAGUACCGGAAAUGUUUGGUGACAUCGGGUCUAUUUCUGUUGUUGAGUCAUUACGGUGGUAAAGUGCCUUUGUAGCAGUAAGGCAGCUGAGGUGGACGCGAGACAUUGGAAUCACUGGACAAUGUUGGGGUGUCGUGGUUAACGUGCCUCUUCAAUGUUGCAUGGAAGGCGGGUGCAGUACCUCUGGACUGACAGACCGGGGUGGUGGUCCCACUCUUAAUGUCUAACUACCUUUGAGGAGCUGGACCGCUACCUCUCUGUGCCUCAGUUUCCCCAUCUGCAAAUGGUGACAGUGACACUU